UAUUCUCCCUCAAACGGUUUGAAGGUUAGAGAUCCCUUGUUGCGCAUUCACUUGCCUCCAUGGCUAAGUGGCUUAACCCCAACGAUGCCGUGGACACCCUCCUUUUGGAGUGACUUUGACAUAAUCAAAGAUCAAGGACUUAACCACAAGACAACUAUGAUGCCUCAGGUCAAAGGACUACUUUGCAUUAUCCCAACCAUGAGUUCUCAUGUGACAUGAAUAUGAGAACUCUUCGUUGAUCGUGUUCAGUGAACUCAUUCUCUAUUGAGCACCUACGUACUUGUCUUGAUGUCACACACACCAAUGACUCGAGACUAGUCACUCUCCCUGAGAGAGAAGACAUAGCACGUACUGAUCUUAACGGACUGUCAAUGCCCAAUUGGCAAUCCUAUGAUCAGGAACGUUUAGGAUGUGUCUACGAAAGAAUGGUCUCAUGAAUCUAACUUCUUUAGAUUGCAUUCUCCCAAUCACAUAUUCCUUGGACUUUAUCGUUUAAGCAUAUAACAUUUAUAUGAGACGGCUCAAACAAUAAUCUUUGCCCUUUAUAUUUAAACUAGAUUAGUUUAACAUGUGAAAUGUCCGUAAGUAUCAUCAUAUGAUUGGUUUUUAGGGCACAUUUCCAACAACUCAGAAUUGGCUUUAGAAACUUCAACACAUAGGGUGGAAUUUUCUAAAUUUCUAGCCAUUAUAUUUUGCUUAUAUGUUUUUAUCAAAGAACCUUUGCAAGUAAAAAAUUCUAAUAAUAAGAAUGUAUGAAAAAUAUUCAAAUGGACUAGAAAAUAAAGAAAAAACCUUUUUGUGCGAGAAUCUUCUACGUGUAUGGAUUUCAACUCUCAAUGAAAGCACCAAUUUGUGGAUGCAAAUUUCUUCCUCCUUGAUCUUGGACAAUUUUGCACCUACAAAACAAUUAACACCUUAGGUUAAGGCCAAGAGCCUCACGCGCCCACGAUGAAUGGGGGGGCUUUGGCAGAAGAACCUCCGAUGCCAAUGUUAGAAUUUAGAGAGAAAGAGUGUUUAGAGAAUUUUGGGAUUUUUGCCAAAGUGUUGGAAUGAAUAUUUGGUGAAAAUAGGUUGGUUUAGGUUUUUAUUUUGGUUUAAUUAGCCAAUUAAUUGGCUAAUAAAAAGGAAGAAAUGGUGAAAAAGGUAGAAAAAGUGAUGGAUUAGGUUUUGAAUGGGGAUAGCCGGCCAUGUGGUGUUUUAGGGUUGAAUUGGAUGUGUUUUGUGGUUAUUUGGAUAUAAUGGAUGGUUUAAUUGACAAUUAAUGGGUUAAUUAGGCAAUAAACCCAUUAAUUAGCCAAUUAACAUAAUUUAAAAGGAAUGUGUUUAGGAAUUACCUUGUAGAAAGGAUUUGAUGAGAUGGACUUUGAAUUGUUACCUAUUUUGGGCACUUCUGUCUUGGUUGAAAGAGGGUUUCCCGCUGCUUGCGCGUAGGAACCUCGUUGUACUGCAAGGGUAUUUUUGUCCUUUUUGUCCAAAAAUCCACGUGUCGCCUUGAGAAUAUUUUUGGCUCCACACUUAUCAUCGAAUAUUCGUGGCGAUUCUUAGUAUUGGAGAUUCUUUUCGAGGGUACGAUUCUUAAUCCACUCUACUGUACUUACUUAUGCUCUAACGUCUGAUAUUUAGGCACUCUUAGGUUUAAAUUUAUUCACAUUUUUUCCACAUCAUCACACUUUAUGGCUUCGUCACCUUCCAGGUGUGGGCCAGUGCAGCUAGAUUCGAAGUUCUAGUGGACAUUUCGGGUCAGGGUGUGUCAGUUUGUUAUCAGAGCCAGGUUGGGCAGUAUUGCGUUCAUCACUGAAGGAAAUUUUGUGAAAAACAUGUUCAUUUGAGCAACAUCUAUGGCAUGCAAUUAACAAUUAAAGGCGGAAUCAUGCUUGUAUGCACUCAAAAACAAAACAUUACCCAUGAAAUUCAAAGCCUAGUAGAAGGGUGAACCAAGACUCAACUCAAAACAAAGUGAGUUGAGAAAAUUUAUACCUUUGUUGAUUUUUCUUUGCAUAAGCAAAGGCUAAUCACCCAAGGAGAGGGCCUUCAUUCUUGCUUCUUAGCUCCAUGGAUUUCUUGGAUGAGGAUGGUUGAAAGGAUUCUCCAAGUUCCCAAAGUUGAGAACCUCUAAGUCUUUCACACCAAGGUAGGACUUGAAGAAGAGAUGAGUGACCUAGAGGAAGUAAGAUUGCUAGCUAAAAUCCUCUAGGGUGGCCGGCCUCUUAGAGAGAAAAAUGGAGCUUGUGUUCUCAUCUUUUCUCUAAAAGAAACCCUAAGGAUGAAAUGGCUAUAAAGUUGCCUUUAUACCACCUCACAAUGGAGUGGCAAACUUGCAAUUAAGCCAAGUUCACUACCCCUCUCUAUAUGGCCGGUUUUCCCAAGGCUUUGGGUUGUUUUGGGCCUCUUGAAUUUUGUUUGUUAAGUUGUCAUACAACUUAAACUAAUGGGCUUGACGAUUCGAAGCCCAAUUUGGGCUUUAAGGCCCAAAACUAACUCAAGGUUUAAAACGAACUUAUUCGUUUGAUUAAUUAACAUAUUAAUUAAUUCUUGCCAUAAAAAAUUAAACCAUUUAAUUGUCCUUACUCAUCUCCGUUGUUUCUUCAAUCUCUACCUUACAUGGUGUACGAUCCAUUAGGUUCAUUUUUAGCGAGGCAGUGGGCAAUUAGAACUCUUUCAAAUCGAUUGUGAAUUGAAACUUACUUUCAAUUCUCCCUUUAGUGAUUAUACAUGUUUAGGGCUUCACAAACCAUGAGUGACACCUAGCAGUAUGUCAUGGUUACCCAAGCUAAUCAGAAGAGGUGGAGAACCUAUUCAGUUUAGGAUUACAAUGCAAUACGGUCUUUCUCUAAUACAAUACUCUUGACCACAUUGUUUGGUUUGAUAGUUUAUUCAUGUCUACUAUCCAAUGUGAUUCUCUUACUUAUAUGAUUACCUUGAAUGUGAUUUGGAACGACUUCCUAAAUCUUAUUCAUACUCUGGCCAGAGAUUCUUAAUCAUAUCAUAAAGUAUUCUCCCUCAAACAGUUUUGAAGGUUAGAGAUCCCUUGUUGCGUAUUCACUUGCCUCCAUGGCUAAGUGGCUUAACCCCAACUAUGCCAUGGACACCCUCUGACGGGGUGACUUUGACAUAGUCAAAGAUCAAGGACCUAACCACAAGACAACUAUGAUGCCUCAGGUCAAAUGACUACUUUGCAUUAUCCCAACCAUGAGUUCUCAUGUGACAUGAGUGUGAGAACUCCUUGUUGAUCGUGUUCAGUGGACUCAUUCUCUAUUGAGCACCUACAUACUUGUCUUGGUGUUAGUCACACCAAUGACUCGAGACCAGUCACUCUCCCUAAGAGAAGACAUAACAUGUACUGAUCUUAACGGACUGUCAAUGCCCAAUUGGCAAUCCUAUGAUCAGGAACGUUUAGGAUAUGUAUACGUUUAAGUGUUUAAGCAUAUAACAUAUUCUUUAGAUUGCAUUCUCCCAAUUACAUAUUCCUUAGACUUAUCGUUUAAGCGUAUAACAUU
This 3497-nucleotide long non-coding RNA is filed under the name Malus domestica (apple). Its description in RNAcentral is "long non-coding RNA (MDOM_LNC018138)". Lineage: Eukaryota; Viridiplantae; Streptophyta; Magnoliopsida; Rosales; Rosaceae. The record is from RNAcentral.